CUUCCUUCAAGAGCUUAAAAGCUCACUGUUUGAGGAAAUACAUGAGGAUGAAACGGUACUUCAAGCCUCAACAGACUGGUCGACCCGAAAGAGCCUCAUAUCAGGGUGGUGGGAGAAAGAGAGACCCCGACUGGUCAACACCAUGGUGGCUGGACAACAUGCGGCAACUCGGAUCUGCCAACAUUGUGGAAAUGGUCCAGCCGUAAUCCGUUGUUGUGACUGCCGACCACACCCAUUCCUCUGUGGCCAGUGUGAUGUCAGGGUCCACCGAGGUCAAGUGUUCCACAACAGGGAUUCGAUGACACAUGCAUUCUUUCAUCCAUUGCCUCCCACAACUUGUGUUGUGGAGAGGGUUCUAACCCAGUGUGAGCGUCUUGUACCUUUGGAGAUGCCAGAGACAAUAUGCGGUUGUCUACGAGUAUCGUCCAGUGUCAUCGCAGGACAGUCCAUAGUUGUGGUUACAAUGAAUGGGCGAUAUGAUCUCAGAAUGCCUCAGAUUAGAUGCAAAGCAUGUGAAGCCACUUGGAGUCCUGGAGUGGAUGACCUGAUCCGUAAUGACUACUGGCCUGCCA
This is a long non-coding RNA of Cyprinus carpio carpio, 572 nucleotides long. The record is from Ensembl. NCBI's taxonomy places the organism in Eukaryota, Metazoa, Chordata, Actinopteri, Cypriniformes, Cyprinidae.